AACGAACGCUGGCGGCAUGCCUAACACAUGCAAGUCGAACGAAGGCUUCGGCCUUAGUGGCGCACGGGUGCGUAACGCGUGGGAAUCUGCCCUUUGCUUCGGAAUAACAGUUAGAAAUGACUGCUAAUACCGGAUGAUGUCGCAAGACCAAAGAUUUAUCGGCAAAGGAUGAGUCCGCGUAGGAUUAGCUAGUUGGUGGGGUAAAGGCCUACCAAGGCGACGAUCCUUAGCUGGUCUGAGAGGAUGAUCAGCCACACUGGGACUGAGACACGGCCCAGACUCCUACGGGAGGCAGCAGUGGGGAAUAUUGGACAAUGGGCGAAAGCCCGAUCCAGCAAUGCCGCGUGAGUGAUGAAGGCCUUAGGGUUGUAAAGCUCUUUUACCCGGGAUGAUAAUGACAGUACCGGGAGAAUAAGCUCCGGCUAACUCCGUG
RNAcentral lists this ribosomal RNA (433 nucleotides) under uncultured bacterium. RNAcentral's name for it is "partial 16S ribosomal RNA". It matches the Rfam family "Bacterial small subunit ribosomal RNA", at positions 29 to 507 of the family's 1533-position model. The record is from RNAcentral.